This 253-nucleotide unclassified non-coding RNA is filed under the name uncultured Kangiellaceae bacterium. RNAcentral describes it as "contains 16S-23S intergenic spacer region". It matches the Rfam family "Bacterial small subunit ribosomal RNA", at positions 524 to 776 of the family's 1533-position model. The record is from RNAcentral. Lineage: Bacteria; Pseudomonadati; Pseudomonadota; Gammaproteobacteria; Kangiellales; Kangiellaceae.
UACAGAGGGUGCAAGCGUUAAUCGGAAUUACUGGGCGUAAAGCGCGCGUAGGUGGUUGAUUAAGUCAGAUGUAAAAGCCCCGGGCUCAACCUGGGAACUGCAUUUGAGACUGGUCGUCUAGAGUACAGAAGAGGGGGGUGGAAUUCCAGGUGUAGCGGUGAAAUGCGUAGAGAUCAGGAGGAACAUCAGUGGCGAAGGCGACCCCCUGGGCUGAUACUGACGCUGAGGUGCGAAAGCGUGGGUAGCGAACAGG